This 497-nucleotide ribosomal RNA is filed under the name uncultured bacterium. RNAcentral's name for it is "partial 16S ribosomal RNA". It matches the Rfam family "Bacterial small subunit ribosomal RNA", at positions 28 to 507 of the family's 1533-position model. The record is from RNAcentral.
GAUGAACGCUGGCGGCGUGCCUAAUACAUGCAAGUCGAGCGAACAGACGAGGAGCUUGCUCCUUUGACGUUAGCGGCGGACGGGUGAGUAACACGUAGGUAACCUCCCUAUAAGACUGGGAUAACUUCGGGAAACCGGAGCUAAUACCGGAUAAUAUUUCGAACCGCAUGGUUCGAUAGUGAAAGAUGGCUUUGCUAUCACUUAUAGCUGGACCUGCGCCGUAUUAGCUAGUUGGUAAGGUAACGGCUUACCAAGGCAACGAUACGUAGCCGACCUGAGAGGGUGAUCGGCCACACUGGAACUGAGACACGGUCCAGACUCCUACGGGAGGCAGCAGUAGGGAAUCUUCCGCAAUGGGCGAAAGCCUGACGGAGCAACGCCGCGUGAGUGAUGAAGGUCUUCGGAUCGUAAAACUCUGUUAUUAGGGAAGAACAAACGUGUAAGUAACUGUGCACGGCUUGACGGUACCUAAUCAGAAAGCCACGGCUAACUACGUG